This 209-nucleotide long non-coding RNA is filed under the name Elaeis guineensis (African oil palm). RNAcentral's name for it is "long non-coding RNA (EGUI_LNC070130)". The record is from RNAcentral. Lineage: Eukaryota; Viridiplantae; Streptophyta; Magnoliopsida; Arecales; Arecaceae.
GGAGAGGUUCGAAAAGAUGUCGUCGAAGGUCGGACGUCAGUAGAAUCCCGGGAGGAUCACUCCUGACACAAACUUUGGCUGGGGGGUAUUUUAUACCCAACACCAGUCCCCCUACUUUCGAGUUCGAAUUUCGAAUGAAGGAAGUAUAGAGAAGUUGUUACAACCAAAGUUGCCCCCUUGAAUUCUGUGCACGAUCGUCCUCAGAAAUC